CAGUAGCCGCGGUAAAACGUAGGGGGCAAGCGUUAUCCGGAAUAACUGGGCGUAAAGGGUGCGCAGGUGGUUUAACAAGUUAGUGGUGAAAGGCAUAGGCUCAACCAAUGUAAGCCAUUAAAACUGUUUAACUUGAGUGCAGGAGAGGAAAGUGGAAUUCCUAGUGUAGCGGUGAAAUGCGUAGAUAUUAGGAGGAAUACCAGUGGCGAAGGCGACUUUCUGGACUGCAGCUGACACUGAGGCACGAAAGCGUGGGGAGCAAACAGGAUUAGAUACCCCAGUAGUCCCUGUCUCUUAUACA
This 301-nucleotide ribosomal RNA is filed under the name uncultured bacterium. RNAcentral's name for it is "partial 16S ribosomal RNA". It matches the Rfam family "Bacterial small subunit ribosomal RNA", at positions 509 to 808 of the family's 1533-position model. The record is from RNAcentral.